ACGGGUGAGUAAUGUCUGGGGAUCUGCCCGAUAGAGGGGGAUAACCACUGGAAACGGUGGCUAAUACCGCAUAACGUCGCAAGACCAAAGAGGGGGACCUUCGGGCCUCUCACUAUCGGAUGAACCCAGAUGGGAUUAGCUAGUAGGCGGGGUAAUGGCCCACCUAGGCGACGAUCCCUAGCUGGUCUGAGAGGAUGACCAGCCACACUGGAACUGAGACACGGUCCAGACUCCUACGGGAGGCAGCAGUGGGGAAUAUUGCACAAUGGGCGCAAGCCUGAUGCAGCCAUGCCGCGUGUAUGAAGAAGGCCUUCGGGUUGUAAAGUACUUUCAGCGGGGAGGAAGGCGAUGUGGUUAAUAACCGCGUCGAUUGACGUUACCCGCAGAAGAAGCACCGGCUAACUCCGUGCCAGCAGCCGCGGUAAUACGGAGGGUGCAAGCGUUAAUCGGAAUUACUGGGCGUAAAGCGCACGCAGGCGGUCUGUUAAGUCAGAUGUGAAAUCCCCGGGCUUAACCUGGGAACUGCAUUUGAAACUGGCAGGCUUGAGUCUCGUAGAGGGGGGUAGAAUUCCAGGUGUAGC
Molecule: ribosomal RNA, 581 nt
Filed under: uncultured bacterium
Lineage: Bacteria
Description: bacterial SSU rRNA
Rfam family: Bacterial small subunit ribosomal RNA
Source: RNAcentral